This 103-nucleotide small nucleolar RNA is filed under the name Catagonus wagneri (Chacoan peccary). RNAcentral's name for it is "Small nucleolar RNA U13 (ENSCWAG00000011310.1)". It matches the Rfam family "Small nucleolar RNA U13". Lineage: Eukaryota; Metazoa; Chordata; Mammalia; Artiodactyla; Tayassuidae. The record is from Rfam by way of RNAcentral.
GUCUUUUUGUAGCUCAUGAGCACGAUGAUUGGGUGUUCACACGCUUGUGUGACACCUGCCUCCCUCAAAUCUUGUUAUGACAUUGGCAUAUUACCAUCUGAUG